RNAcentral lists this ribosomal RNA (571 nucleotides) under uncultured Caryophanales bacterium. RNAcentral describes it as "bacterial SSU rRNA". It matches the Rfam family "Bacterial small subunit ribosomal RNA", at positions 11 to 561 of the family's 1533-position model. The record is from RNAcentral. Lineage: Bacteria; Bacillati; Bacillota; Bacilli; Caryophanales.
GUUUGAUCAUGGCUCAGGACGAACGCUGGCGGCGUGCCUAAUACAUGCAAGUCGAGCGGACGUUUUUGAAGCUUGCUUCAAAAACGUUAGCGGCGGACGGGUGAGUAACACGUGGGCAACCUACCUUAUCGACUGGGAUAACUCCGGGAAACCGGGGCUAAUACCGGAUAACAUCUAGCACCUCCUGGUGCCGGAUUAAAAGAGGGCUUCUUGCUCUCACGAUGAGAUGGGCCCGCGGCGCAUUAGCUAGUUGGAGAGGUAACGGCUCCCCAAGGCGACGAUGCGUAGCCGACCUGAGAGGGUGAUCGGCCACACUGGGACUGAGACACGGCCCAGACUCCUACGGGAGGCAGCAGUAGGGAAUCUUCCGCAAUGGACGAAAGUCUGACGGAGCAACGCCGCGUGAGUGAUGAAGGGUUUCGGCUCGUAAAGCUCUGUUAUGAGGGAAGAACAUGUACCGUUCGAAUAGGGCGGUACCUUGACGGUACCUCAUCAGAAAGCCACGGCUAACUACGUGCCAGCAGCCGCGGUAAUACGUAGGUGGCAAGCGUUGUCCGGAAUUAUUGGGCGU